GCGCCCGUAGCUCAGCGGACAGAGCGGCUGCCUUCUAAGCAGCGGGUCGGAGGUUCGAAUCCUCCCGGGCGUGCCA
RNAcentral lists this transfer RNA (76 nucleotides) under Armatimonadota bacterium. RNAcentral describes it as "Armatimonadetes bacterium tRNA-Arg". It matches the Rfam family "tRNA". Rfam says of the family: Transfer RNA (tRNA) molecules are approximately 80 nucleotides in length. Their secondary structure includes four short double-helical elements and three loops (D, anti-codon, and T loops). The record is from RNAcentral. Lineage: Bacteria; Bacillati; Armatimonadota.